This 497-nucleotide ribosomal RNA is filed under the name uncultured bacterium. Its description in RNAcentral is "partial 16S ribosomal RNA". It matches the Rfam family "Bacterial small subunit ribosomal RNA", at positions 28 to 507 of the family's 1533-position model. The record is from RNAcentral.
GAUGAACGCUGGCGGCGUGCCUAAUACAUGCAAGUCGAGCGAACAGACGAGGAGCUUGCUCCUCUGACGUUAGCGGCGGACGGGUGAGUAACACGUGGAUAACCUACCUAUCAGACUGGGAACACUACGGGAAACCGGAGCUAACACCGGAUAAUAUAUUGCACCGCAUGGUUCAAUAGUGAAAGACGGUUUUGCUGUCACUAAUAGAUGGAUCCGCGCUUCAUUAGCUAGUUGGUAAGGUAACGGCUUACCAAGGCAACGAUGCGUAGCCGACCUGAGAGGGUGAUCGGCCACAUUGGAACUGAGACACGGUACAGACUCCUGAGGGAGGCAGCAGUAGGGAAGCUUCCGCAAUGGGCGAAAGUCUGACGGAGCAACGCCGAGUGAGUGAUGAAGGUCUUCGGAUCGUAAAACUCUGUUAUUGGGGGAGAACAAAUGUGUAAUUAACUGUGCAGGUCUUGACGGUACCGAAUCAGAAAGCCACGGCUAACUACGUG